GGGUUGUGAGGUUAAGCGACUAAGCGUACACGGUGGAUGCCCUGGCAGUCAGAGGCGAUGAAGGGCGUGCUAAUCUGCGAUAAGCGCCGGUAAGGUGAUAUGAACCGUUAUAACCGGCGAUACCCGAAUGGGGAAACCCAGUGUGAUUCGUCACACUAUCAUUAACUGAAUCCAUAGGUUAAUGAGGCGAACCGGGGGAACUGAAACAUCUAAGUACCCCGAGGAAAAGAAAUCAACCGAGAUUCCCCCAGUAGCGGCGAGCGAACGGGGAGGAGCCCAGAGCCUGAAUCAGCAUGUGUGUUAGUGGAAGCGUCUGGAAAGGCGCGCGAUACAGGGUGACAGCCCCGUACACAAAAGCGCAUGUGCUGUGAGCUCGAUGAGUAGGGCGGGACACGUGGUAUCCUGUCUGAAUAUGGGGGGACCAUCCUCCAAGGCUAAAUACUCCUGACUGACCGAUAGUGAACCAGUACCGUGAGGGAAAGGCGAAAAGAACCCCGGCGAGGGGAGUGAAAAAGAACCUGAAACCGUGUACGUACAAGCAGUGGGAGCACGUGUGACUGCGUACCUUUUGUAUAAUGGGUCAGCGACUUAUAUUCUGUAGCAAGGUUAACCGAAUAGGGGAGCCGGAGGGAAACCGAGUCUUAAUUGGGCGUUAAGUUGCAGGGUAUAGACCCGAAACCCGGUGAUCUAGCCAUGGGCAGGUUGAAGGUUGGGUAACACUAACUGGAGGACCGAACCGACUAAUGUUGAAAAAUUAGCGGAUGACCUGUGGCUGGGGGUGAAAGGCCAAUCAAACCGGGAGAUAGCUGGUUCUCCCCGAAAGCUAUUUAGGUAGCGCCUCGUGAAUUCAUCUCCGGGGGUAGAGCACUGUUUCGGCUAGGGGGCCAUCCCGGCUUACCAACCCGAUGCAAACUGCGAAUACCGGAGAAUGUUAUCACGGGAGACACACGGCGGGUGCUAACGUCCGUCGUGAAGAGGGAAACAACCCAGACCGCCAGCUAAGGUCCCAAAGUCAUGGUUAAGUGGGAAACGAUGUGGGAAGGCCCAGACAGCCAGGAUGUUGGCUUAGAAGCAGCCAUCAUUUAAAGAAAGCGUAAUAGCUCACUGGUCGAGUCGGCCUGCGCGGAAGAUGUAACGGGGCUAAACCAUGCACCGAAGCUGCGGCAGCGACACUGUGUGUUGUUGGGUAGGGGAGCGUUCUGUAAGCCUGUGAAGGUGUGUCGUGAGGCAUGCUGGAGGUAUCAGAAGUGCGAAUGCUGACAUAAGUAACGAUAAAGCGGGUGAAAAGCCCGCUCGCCGGAAGACCAAGGGUUCCUGUCCAACGUUAAUCGGGGCAGGGUGAGUCGACCCCUAAGGCGAGGCCGAAAGGCGUAGUCGAUGGGAAACGGGUUAAUAUUCCCGUACUUGGUGUUACUGCGAAGGGGGGACGGAGAAGGCUAUGUUGGCCGGGCGACGGUUGUCCCGGUUUAAGCGUGUAGGUGUGUGUUCCAGGUAAAUCCGGUUCACUUUAACACUGAGGCGUGACGACGAGGCACUACGGUGCUGAAGCAACAAAUGCCCUGCUUCCAGGAAAAGCCUCUAAGCAUCAGGUAACAUCAAAUCGUACCCCAAACCGACACAGGUGGUCAGGUAGAGAAUACCAAGGCGCUUGAGAGAACUCGGGUGAAGGAACUAGGCAAAAUGGUGCCGUAACUUCGGGAGAAGGCACGCUGACACGUAGGUGAAGUGAUUUACUCAUGGAGCUGAAGUCAGUCGAAGAUACCAGCUGGCUGCAACUGUUUAUUAAAAACACAGCACUGUGCAAACACGAAAGUGGACGUAUACGGUGUGACGCCUGCCCGGUGCCGGAAGGUUAAUUGAUGGGGUCAGCGCAAGCGAAGCUCCUGAUCGAAGCCCCGGUAAACGGCGGCCGUAACUAUAACGGUCCUAAGGUAGCGAAAUUCCUUGUCGGGUAAGUUCCGACCUGCACGAAUGGCGUAAUGAUGGCCAGGCUGUCUCCACCCGAGACUCAGUGAAAUUGAACUCGCUGUGAAGAUGCAGUGUACCCGCGGCAAGACGGAAAGACCCCGUGAACCUUUACUAUAGCUUGACACUGAACAUUGAGCCUUGAUGUGUAGGAUAGGUGGGAGGCUUUGAAGUGUGGACGCCAGUCUGCAUGGAGCCGACCUUGAAAUACCACCCUUUAAUGUUUGAUGUUCUAACGUGGACCCGUUACCCGGGUUGCGGACAGUGUCUGGUGGGUAGUUUGACUGGGGCGGUCUCCUCCUAAAGAGUAACGGAGGAGCACGAAGGUUGGCUAAUCCUGGUCGGACAUCAGGAGGUUAGUGCAAUGGCAUAAGCCAGCUUGACUGCGAGCGUGACGGCGCGAGCAGGUGCGAAAGCAGGUCAUAGUGAUCCGGUGGUUCUGAAUGGAAGGGCCAUCGCUCAACGGAUAAAAGGUACUCCGGGGAUAACAGGCUGAUACCGCCCAAGAGUUCAUAUCGACGGCGGUGUUUGGCACCUCGAUGUCGGCUCAUCACAUCCUGGGGCUGAAGUAGGUCCCAAGGGUAUGGCUGUUCGCCAUUUAAAGUGGUACGCGAGCUGGGUUUAGAACGUCGUGAGACAGUUCGGUCCCUAUCUGCCGUGGGCGCUGGAGAACUGAGGGGGGCUGCUCCUAGUACGAGAGGACCGGAGUGGACGCAUCACUGGUGUUCGGGUUGUCAUGCCAAUGGCACUGCCCGGUAGCUAAAUGCGGAAGAGAUAAGUGCUGAAAGCAUCUAAGCACGAAACUUGCCCCGAGAUGAGUUCUCCCUGAGACUUAGAGUCUCCUGAAGGAACGUUGAAGACGACGACGUUGAUAGGCCGGGUGUGUAAGCGCAGCGAUGCGUUGAGCUAACCGGUACUAAUGAACCGUGAGGCUUAACCUUACAACGCCGAAG
This 2918-nucleotide ribosomal RNA is filed under the name Salmonella enterica subsp. enterica serovar Enteritidis. Its description in RNAcentral is "bacterial LSU rRNA". It matches the Rfam family "Bacterial large subunit ribosomal RNA". Lineage: Bacteria; Pseudomonadati; Pseudomonadota; Gammaproteobacteria; Enterobacterales; Enterobacteriaceae. The record is from RNAcentral.